GACGAACGCUGGCGGCGUGGAUUAGGCAUGCAAGUCGAACGGUAUAAACCUUUCGGGGUUUAGAGAGUGGCGAACGGGUGAGUAACACGUAGGUAAUCUACCCUCAAAACGGGGACAACCCAGGGAAACUUGGGCUAAUACCGGAUGCGUGCAAACAAUGUUUUGGCUGUUGUAAUUAUUCACGGAAGUGGAUAGUUAUGAGAGUUUCAGAGCAUAAUUUGCAUAAAAGGUGGCGUAAGCUGCCGUUUGAGGAUGAGCCUGCGUCCUAUUAGUUAGUUGGUGAGGUAAUGGCUUACCAAGGCGAUGAUAGGUAGGCGGCCUUAACGGGUGGUCGCCCACACUGGGAUUGAGAUACGGCCCAGACUCCUACGGGAGGCAGCAGUCGAGAAUAGUCUACAAUGGACGAAAGUCUGAUAGUGCGACGCCGCGUGAACGAAGAAUCCUUUCGGGUGUAAAGUCUUUCUAUGUGAGCAGUUCCUUUUAUAUGAAGAGUAUAGAAGUGGGAUUUAAGCAUAGGAAU
This 520-nucleotide ribosomal RNA is filed under the name uncultured bacterium. RNAcentral describes it as "bacterial SSU rRNA". It matches the Rfam family "Bacterial small subunit ribosomal RNA", at positions 28 to 487 of the family's 1533-position model. The record is from RNAcentral.